This 651-nucleotide long non-coding RNA is filed under the name Mus musculus (house mouse). RNAcentral's name for it is "predicted gene, 19605, transcript variant 2 (Gm19605)". Lineage: Eukaryota; Metazoa; Chordata; Mammalia; Rodentia; Muridae. The record is from RNAcentral.
AGAAAAACCAGCUUUGAACUCUGCGUGCAAGGCCUCCUGAGCCUCAGGCCCCAGCCAAAGAUGCUGCGGGAUUCUACAGCUCAGCAGAGCAUGGGGGCAGGGCAUGCCAGGCGAGUGACCUCAGUCCUAGUGUACUCUCUCUAACACUCAAGUGGAAGACGCCUGAUGGUGUUCUCUGCACUGCAGUUGUGGGCGACUGGAGCAGCUGCUGCUUGGAUAGCAAGUGCAAGACUAAGAGGGAGGACAUGCUGCUGCAUCCCGGCAGUCAGAGCACCACCCGCGGUUGUGAAGAAGACUCCCAUACCGCAGGCGAGGCCGUGGCCUGUGCCUUAGCCAUCACCCGCCCAGUGCUACAACUGUCUACACUGAUUCUCAGUUGCUAUGGCUACACUAUCCAGGGCUGGUACGGACAGGCCUCCUACAGGACAAGUGCCAGGGGAGCUGGAGCGGCCCAUGAAGGCUCUGGCCGCUUCCAACUGCGGAAGAGACCAGAACUCAGCCUGCAUCCUCUGCUCUUCUGUCGCUGUUUUGUUGUCUACUAAAAACAAACAAACAAACAAAACAAAACACCUGCCUGUAAAUACAUCCCACUGAUUUUAAUUUUACAAAGUAGUUCUGAACAAAACCUUCAAAUCUUGAUUUCUAAAUUGA